RNAcentral lists this ribosomal RNA (466 nucleotides) under uncultured eukaryote. RNAcentral describes it as "SSU rRNA". It matches the Rfam family "Eukaryotic small subunit ribosomal RNA", at positions 78 to 549 of the family's 1831-position model. The record is from RNAcentral.
ACAGUGAAACCGCGAAUGGCUCAUUAAAUCAGUUAUGGUUUAUUAGAUCGUGUGUUCUACGUGGAUAACUGUGGUAAUUCUAGAGCUAAUACAUGCAACUGGCCCUGACUUACGGAGGGGCGCUUUUAUUAGAUCAAAAUCAAUCGGGUUCGCCCGUUUUUGUGAUGACUCUGGAUAACUUUUGCCGACCGCAUGGCCUUGCGCUGGCGGCGUAUCUUUCAAAUGUCUGCCCUAUCAACUUUCGAUGGUAGGUGACAUGCCUACCAUGGUUGUAACGGGUAACGGAGAAUCAGGGUUCGAUUCCGGAGAGGGAGCCUGAGAAACGGCUACCACAUCCAAGGAAGGCAGCAGGCGCGCAAAUUACCCACUCCCGGCACGGGGAGGUAGUGACGAAAAAUAACAAUGCUGGGCUUCAAGUCCGGUAAUUGGAAUGAGUACACUCUAAAUCCUUUAACGAGGAUCUAGU